RNAcentral lists this ribosomal RNA (420 nucleotides) under uncultured bacterium. RNAcentral's name for it is "bacterial SSU rRNA". It matches the Rfam family "Bacterial small subunit ribosomal RNA", at positions 358 to 773 of the family's 1533-position model. The record is from RNAcentral.
AGAAUCUUCCGCAAUGGGCGAAAGCCUGACGGAGCGACACCGCGUGCAGGAUGAAGGCCUUCGGGUUGGAAACUGCUGUCACGCCAUAGGAAUGACGCAAGGUUAAUGGCCUUGCGUUUGACCAACGCGAAAGGAAGCACCGGCACACUCUGUACCAGCAGCCGCGGUAAGACAGAGGGUGCAAACGUUGUUCGGAAUUACUGGGCAUCAAGAGCACGUAGGCGGCUCGCAUAGUCGCGCGUGAAAUCCCCCGGCUCAACCGGGGAAUGGCGCGCGAUACUGGCGGGCUAGAGGUUGGUAGGGGUGAGUGGAACUCCAGGUGGAGCGGUGAAAUGCGUAGAUAUCUGGAGGAACACCGGUGGCGAAAGCGGCUCACUGGACCAACGCUGACGCUGAGGUGCGAAAGCUAGGGUAGCAAAC